This 578-nucleotide ribosomal RNA is filed under the name uncultured Sphingomonas sp. RNAcentral describes it as "bacterial SSU rRNA". It matches the Rfam family "Bacterial small subunit ribosomal RNA", at positions 92 to 705 of the family's 1533-position model. The record is from RNAcentral. Lineage: Bacteria; Pseudomonadati; Pseudomonadota; Alphaproteobacteria; Sphingomonadales; Sphingomonadaceae.
UUAGUGGCGCACGGGUGCGUAACGCGUGGGAAUCUGCCCCUUGGUUCGGAAUAACAGUUGGAAACGACUGCUAAUACCGGAUGACGACGUAAGUCCAAAGAUUUAUCGCCGAGGGAUGAGCCCGCGUAGGAUUAGGUAGUUGGUGUGGUAAAGGCGCACCAAGCCGACGAUCCUUAGCUGGUCUGAGAGGAUGAUCAGCCACACUGGGACUGAGACACGGCCCAGACUCCUACGGGAGGCAGCAGUGGGGAAUAUUGGACAAUGGGCGAAAGCCUGAUCCAGCAAUGCCGCGUGAGUGAUGAAGGCCUUAGGGUUGUAAAGCUCUUUUACCCGGGAUGAUAAUGACAGUACCGGGAGAAUAAGCUCCGGCUAACUCCGUGCCAGCAGCCGCGGUAAUACGGAGGGAGCUAGCGUUAUUCGGAAUUACUGGGCGUAAAGUGCACGUAGGCGGCUUUGUAAGUAAGAGGUGAAAGCCCAGAGCUCAACUCUGGAAUUGCCUUUUAGACUGCAUCGCUUGAAUCAUGGAGAGGUCAGUGGAAUUCCGAGUGUAGAGGUGAAAUUCGUAGAUAUACGGAAGA